AUACGGAGGAUGCAAGCGUUAUCCGGAUUUACUGGGCGUAAAGGGUGCGUAGGUGGUUUCUUAAGUCAGAAGUGAAAGGCUACGGCUCAACCGUAGUAAGCUUUUGAAACUAAGAGACUUGAGUGCAGGAGAGGAGAGUAGAAUUCCUAGUGUAGCGGUGAAAUGCGUAGAUAUUAGGAGGAAUACCAGUUGCGAAGGCGGCUCUCUGGACUGUAACUGACACUGAGGCACGAAAGCGUGGGGAGCAAACAGGAUUAGAUACCCUGGUAGUCCACGCCGUAAACGAUGAGUACUAGCUGUCGGGGGUUACCCCCCUCGGUGGCGCAGCUAACGCAUUAAGUACUCCGCCUGGGAAGUACGCUCGCAAGAGUGAAACUCAAAGGAAUCGACGGGG
RNAcentral lists this ribosomal RNA (394 nucleotides) under uncultured bacterium. RNAcentral's name for it is "partial 16S ribosomal RNA". It matches the Rfam family "Bacterial small subunit ribosomal RNA", at positions 523 to 918 of the family's 1533-position model. The record is from RNAcentral.